Ornithodoros turicata is the source of this 2921-nucleotide RNA transcript. RefSeq lists it as uncharacterized. The transcript is spliced from 9 exons. NCBI's taxonomy places the organism in Eukaryota, Metazoa, Arthropoda, Arachnida, Ixodida, Argasidae. The record is from RefSeq and is a predicted model, not a curated record.
GUAGCGCUAGUGAUCCCCGCUAGCUAGACGCUUUCACAAUGGCGAAUGCACUCAUGAAUGUUCUUCGUUCGAGGUGCUGUAGUGAAAUCCACAUUGAACAUGAGACGUCAGCAUUGAAAGUGUAUUAGAUUUGAUGUAAUAGGAAUGUUGUGUGACGGUGCAGCUGUGAAUACCUAUGCUGCUUAAGUUCGUACGUAGUUCGCACAGCUUUCAGAUGUGACUUACGUGUGUAUGCAAUGGCCACCGUCAACUGUGACUACCAACGUAACUCAGUGGCGGUAAAAAGACUCGGAGAUAUUAGAUUAGAGGAAUUUUUGAACAAUGGCCAUAAGAUUUUUCAAUUCAAGCAAAAUGCUUGCCAUGCCUGUGACGGCUACUACGGCCCCUGUUUCGGGCUUCCACUUUGUUGCACCUGUCAUGCGUUCCUCUACCCUGAUGUUGCUUGUGAAGAACAAGGGGACCCAGGAUGGAAAAGUGAUUCAGAAGACUCUGGCAAUGAUGAGCCAGCAGACUUCUACGAGAUGGUGGCUCAUGGACCAGGAAAGUCCCGUCCUUCACCACUGGUUCACAAAAUGGAUAAGCUUUCGGAGUGCAUCUCUGCCCUGAGUAAUGCUCGCGCUCCAGAGUGUACACCAGAUGGCAUCCUAGCUCGUAUGCCCCUUGAAGUGUUGUCACUGAUCUUCCGGCAUCUGGAUGACUUGUCCCUGUGGAAUUGCAGCCAAGUGUGUAGACGCUGGAAUCAGAUCCUAGAACAGGAGCUAAGUGAGAGGCAUUGGUUCCUUUUUGCCCAACAUCGCUGGCCCCUCUUUAAGCCCAGAUAUCACGUGCACUGUUGGCGGACCAUGUACACACGCAUGGUGGAGAGUGCGCCAUGCAAGAUGUGUCUGUAUGACAUGUGGGGCCACAGUUCUCACAGCGCAGAGAAAAUGGUAUGGGGAACAGAAGCAACCCUUCGAGGUCCUAUGGCAUCAGACAAUUCGUGGAGAGCAGUUAGGCUAAGGCAUGAGCUGAUGCUCCUUGAGACUGAUCCUCCAGAAGGGAUAGAGGCAGUGCCACUGGAUCCACUAUGCUAUCACUGGCAGGCUGCCAUCACAGGCCCACAUGACAGUCCCUAUGAAGGAGGACACUUCUUUCUUUUCUUGCAGAUACCCAGUGGGUACCCCUUGAAACCACCUGUAGUGAAAUUUAUCACUAAAAUCUUCCACCCAAAUAUCAGCCGGCAUGGAGAUAUAGGCAUAGAUUCUAUUCAGCACAACUGGAGCCUUGCUCUUACCAUAUCAAAGGUGCUGAUCAGCAUCCAGUCGCUGCUGACAGAUCCUUAUUGCCAUGUGUGCAUGGAACCUGAAGUGGGCCACCUAUAUCAAGAUGACAGAAGUGCAUUUGAGCGAACAGCCCGUUUAUGGACCUUCCGUUACGCCAUGAACAGCGUUCUGGAUCUAACAGACCCUUCUAAUUCUCCGUGGCAUGCGCUGGAAAGUGGAUGAUGGACAAAUAGCGUGCUGUCAUAUCCCGUGUCCUGCGCAGUCAACAGGAUGGGUCAUGAUCCCCUUAAAAUAAGCUAGGCUUAUUUGCUUUGACGACCACGAAGUCGGGGAUAUGGCAAGGUGAGAUGUGAAGACGUUGCCAGGUGCUGCGCAUGCAACUGUACUGUGAGCUGCUUCCACCUUGUGUAUUAGCAGGAUCGCAUAAUAAGUGUUUUUGCUAACCUCAUCCCCAACGAGAGAGAGAGAGAGAAAGACAGAAAAAAAAGCAAACAAAAACUAUGCAUUAUGUGCCCUGCCUGGACAGCAUGGAAUGACUGAAGUGCCAGCACAUACAGACUGUAUGGAUAGACAGUGAACUGUUUGGACAUAUGUAACACUGCAUAACGGAGCUGCCUACGAGCUACAAGAUAUCAGUGUACAGAUACAGAUGCGUAAGGACCUAGUCACGAUGCUUUGCAUCAGUCAAACAAUAGAUUAGGUGUAAUUGGUCUGUUUGUUUGUUUAUGCAGUAAAACCUCCUCAAAGGAAAUUGUGAACAUUUGUGGACAGAAUGUACAUUUACUGUAUUUCAAUUUUAUUGACAUCUUUUCUGGAAAAGGGCAUUCACAACAAUGUCUCUUUUGAGGUGUACACAAGGUUUUAUUUGGCUCAUUUGAAUGAAGCUUCAAGCCAGUUUGAUUGAUUUGUGGAAGGCCAUACUAGGAAGGAUGUAUUAUGAAGCUGAAAGUGCUUACUCAAAUUCUAAUUGAGCCAUUGGACAGCAUGCUGUAAUAUUUAUUUGAAAUCAGGUAUCUAUCUAUCCAGGUUUCUGCACAGUUUGCAAAAUGAUUCCUGGGUUGAGAGACACAAUUCUAUAGAACCCAAAGGUUCAUGUUAUCUCAUUCAUACUAAUUUUGCCAAACUCACUUGUCCAUUAUGUAGGAAUUGGCUUGAUGUCAUCAUUAUUUGAGGCAGCAGUGCAGGGCUACGCAGCCUGCUCUGUUGCAAGUUACAUCAGGGCUUUCUGUUGAAAGUCUGAGAUUUUUUAUAAUUCCUUCAAGAUCAUUCAGCUUUUUUUCUCCAUUGCAUUUGAUGGUGGUUAUGUAACAGAAAUUGAUCUAGCUUUCUUUAGUUACGACGAUGCAAAAAUAUACAAAUGCGUUUACAAGGUAGUAUUUCAGUAUUGAGAUGAAUAUCAUGAAUGUGUAGGUAUGGUAUGCUGUACAAUUUGUUCAUGGAAGUGACGCAUGUACCUUAUUUCAGGGACUGUAAUCCAUGAAACUACAUGUCAUUUUAGUAUGGCAUGGUAAAUCAGAAUUUCCGAACUAUGAAAAAUGUUUGUAGAUAUACAUCUCGUAUCUUUUACUUGGUAUUGGGUUUACAAUUAAUUUACAGGAUUAACAGCAAGUAUGUACAUUGCAUGUACAAGCACAAUAAAAGUGAUUGUUCCGAGUUGGA